This 253-nucleotide ribosomal RNA is filed under the name uncultured prokaryote. RNAcentral's name for it is "partial 16S ribosomal RNA". It matches the Rfam family "Bacterial small subunit ribosomal RNA", at positions 525 to 777 of the family's 1533-position model. The record is from RNAcentral.
ACAGAGGGGGCAAGCGUUGUUCGGAAUUACUGGGCGUAAAGGGCGCGUAGGCGGCCACCUAAGUCAGACGUGAAAUCCCUCGGCUCAACCGGGGAACUGCGUCUGAUACUGGGUGGCUUGAAUCCGGGAGAGGGAUGCGGAAUUCCAGGUGUAGCGGUGAAAUGCGUAGAUAUCUGGAGGAACACCGGUGGCGAAGGCGGCGAUCUGGGUCGAUACUGACGCUGAGGUGCGAAAGCGUGGGGAGCAAACAGGA